CAAGGAGACUGUUGCCAUGGUGACUCAGAGUUGAGGCCAAUGGCGGCUCCACCAUCCUGUGGCUAUGAUUCCUGAACUUGUGGUCUCCUCAGUUGAUGAGGUGAAGAAAGAAAGCCUGGAGAAUUAUGCACGAGCUUCUCACUGUCUCAGCCCACAAGUAACACACCUCUUUCCCUCACAGCCCACACUGGCUGGAACCAAUCACAUAGCCCUGCCUAACUGCAAGGGAGGCCAGAAAGUGCAACACUUUCUCAUGGUCACGGGUGAGCACGAAACAUCUCUCCAAAUAUGGGUUGGGAAGAUUAAGAGACUAGUCCAGAAGAAAACAGUCUCCAGGGAGAAAUAUAUCUGGGAAUAGGAAUCGAGAAAGCAACCAAGAGAGCAGAACUGAGUGGAUGAGAGGAACUGUCAGACCACAUCUGCAGCUCUGAUUAGUCAAAUCCGAAAUGUGCCUGUUGAUCUACUAUUCCGUGGAAAUACUGGAAUCACCAGCUCAAUAAUAAGAGGAAAGUAAAUAAUACCAUACUUGCGUGGAUAAUUCCCCUCUGCUCAUACCUUCAUUCAGGUCAACAUAGAUCUAUCAUACUCCUACAGUGUAUAAGGGACGUGCUAAGCUUGAAGUACAUUCAUUCUAAAAAUCAAAAUACAAAGGCAUGGGAAGACUAAGAAAAUUUCAUAAACCUUCAUUAAAUUAUCAGAAAUACCUGGGAUUCUCAGCUCCAUUUAUAAAGAAACCAGAGUUACAGUUCUUCCAUUACUGAUUGCUUUCUGGAUUGAAUAUUUGAACUCUGCUUUAGUGAUUCCUCUUGCUUAUAUGUGGGAGGAAGACCCCCUACCCUGAGCCAGCAGCUGGAGCACAGCCUGAACACACAGGUUCUCCCUCCUUAAGUGUUGGGCUCUAGAUUCAAGGGCAUGACAGAGUCGUGGGAAUCGCUGGAACGUUUCUAGAGGCGCUGGAUCCAGGGCAAAAAUGAAGACAUAAGGGACCUUAGGUGACAAGGAAGAAGCUCCCAGGCAGCAUGUGGGAUGGACCCAAGGAGAACGUCAGAGAGAAAGAGUUCAGUCUGGUGUCUCCUGAAGCAGGUUAAAAUUAAGCUCGGCAGGCUCGACGUAAAUGUGCAGACAAAGCAAAGCAGGAAGCCUCCCACACUAAAAAGGGAAGAUAAGAAUCACAGAAGCUGGGAUGGUUUUUAUUGAAGGGCAUUUCAAAGCAAAUACAGACAUCUACAGCAUAUUUGUAAAUCCUCCGUAUGUGUAUGGAAACACACACCUUCACACAUCAAAACUGGAUUUGUUCCUGAGUAACAAAACGUCCUAAGAACAAAAUGAAAGAAAACCAAAUAGCAGAAAAAUACUUCCAAUGUAUAUACCACAAAGGAUUAUUUAUCAACUCAACACACCAAGAGUUAAGAAAAUAAUGCAACAGGAACAAAGGGCAAAGGAUAUGUACUGGGAAGACCACAGAGAAAGAAAAUGCAAAUGGCUAAUAAUAUAAAAUAUUUCCUAGGUUCAAUAGUAAUCAGGGAAAGACAAAAUUACACUUUUGACCUCUUAGACUGGCAGUGACAAAGAUUAUUUGAGUGACCAAGCUUUAGUCAGGCUCCUGGAUCUUCUAGGCCCAUCUGGGCACUUCCUCGUAAAAUACAGUUUUAACAAAAGCCCUGCUAAAUUGGUUUACCGAGAACUCCCACCCUCAAUCGAGUUCCUUAGCCCUUCACCUUUCCUCAGGUGAGGGCUGAUCAUCCUGUCCUGUCUUCAGCAAGACUGCUCUAACGCUGACGUUUCCUUUUAGUAAUUUUCCAUCCACUGACACCCACUUGUAAUUUAUAGCCAAGGAGCAAGAUACACUGCUCCUUGGCUAUAAGUUAUUUUCCCUGUUACAUUCAGAGUUGAGCCCAAUCCCACUCCCCGACUACAAAAUCGAUAGCAGUGGUCCCUAUACCUAUUGCAAUGGUCCUAAAUAAAACCUGCCUUACCGUGCUUGAACAAGUGUCAUCGAAUAAUUUUUUAACAGCAAAUUGUUGGAGGUAAA
Molecule: long non-coding RNA, 2032 nt
Filed under: Homo sapiens (human)
Lineage: Eukaryota; Metazoa; Chordata; Mammalia; Primates; Hominidae
Description: HSALNT0337560
Source: RNAcentral